This 332-nucleotide unclassified non-coding RNA is filed under the name soil metagenome. RNAcentral describes it as "partial contains 5.8S ribosomal RNA, internal transcribed spacer 2, and large subunit ribosomal RNA". The stretch from base 1 to 120 matches the Rfam family "5.8S ribosomal RNA", at positions 35 to 154 of the family's 154-position model. The record is from RNAcentral.
GAUGAAGAACGUAGCGAAAUGCGAUAAGUAAUGUGAAUUGCAGAAUUCAGUGAAUCAUCGAAUCUUUGAACGCACAUUGCGCCCGCCAGUAUUCUGGCGGGCAUGCCUGUUCGAGCGUCAUUUCAACCAUCAAGCCCUGCUUGCGUUGGGGUCCUGCGGCUGCCCGCAGGCCCUGAAAACCAGUGGCGGGCUCGCUAGUCACACCGAGCGCAGUAAUACAUCUCGCUUUGGGCGUGCGGCGGGUUCUUGCCGUAAAACCCCCAAUUUUUUAAGGUUGACCUCGGAUCAGGUAGGAAUACCCGCUGAACUUAAGCAUAUCAAUAAGCGGAGGA